UCCUCUACAAGUGGGGAGCUUCAAAGACUGCAUCUCGAACUCCGGGUGUUUGAUAUGUCCCUACGUGACGCUGCUUUUCUCCGCUUGUUAGCAGAUACGGGUCUGAGGGACCUGCAGCCCCAGCCCUCCGAGGUCUGGAUCCACAUACUGAGUAGCAGCUCAAUCGGCAUUUCCAGGAAGUCAGACACCGGAAGCUCCCUUAGAGUUCCCAGAUUCGGUCCACACUGCCAUCGCCCAGCCAGUCACUCAUGCUACAAAUGCGGGACCAAUCCUUACCACUUCCUUCUCUCUCAAGCUCUACAUCUGAGGAAUCCACUUACUGUUGUUUAUCCCACCAUUCUGCAUAUUUCCGAAAUCCUCUUCAGGGGUCAUUUGUUUUCUUGUUUCUCACCUGGAUGGGCUCACGGCACCCCUCCUUUGUUCAAGCCAGUAAUUCCAUGUGGACGUCGGUAUCUACCUGUUAUUGCUGAACUGAGUGGCCAUCCUGCCCCCAGUCCUUAAUACCAUACAACUUGGAAGAGUUCGGUGCAAACAAGUGAGGCGCAAUCUAUCCAUACAAAGUGGCAGGGUUACAGACUUUUCCAUCCCUUCAUCCUUGCGCAAAACCUGAAGCCAGAGCUUCCUGGUGGAAAAUUCGCUGCUGGUCAUAGUCAUGAAUGCAUUGCCCUACACUGAGAGUCUAAGCAAGGAGCGCAGGUCAGAGAAGAGGACUCCUAACAAAGAGAUGGCCCACACAACCCACUUGUUCUUUUCCCAUCAUUCUGCAAAGAGUGAAUGGAGAUCUCUCUGCGGGAGAAGACUUCUAUGUCUGCAUUACCACCGCCAUCAGAAGCAACGGCACAGCGCUCACAUUGGACACAGAGCGGUCCUGACAGAGCACAACCUUCCUACCCUCACCUUGAACAACUUUUCUUUUCGUUUGCCAAAUAACCCCUUACUCCCUUACGCUCUUCUUUCCAGAAGCUUCUUGGUACAGGCUGGGGUCUUUUGUUUGUUUUUUCUACCCAUGGGCCCUAAAAUCCCAACAUCACCUUUUAACUCCAAAAUAUCCUCUAGGAUCUUGAGUCACUGCGACUUCCCGGAAGUCUGACCUCUGCAGUAGCUGCUGCGCACCAGGUCCCUCUCCUGUUCACACUGCACAUUCACUGGAUCCACUCCCCUUGCUGCUCCGAGGACAAGUCUGGAAGGUCCUGUCCUAGGGACAUGCGCCAGGCUCUUUUUCGCACCGGAAUAUUCUUUCCUUAAGUCACCUUCUCAGCGAAGCCGCCCCACAAAUCUACCACACUUGAGCCCCCCCCCCACUCUCUCAUGAUUCCACCUCCUGUCUUUCCCCUGAUACGCAUUUAGCACACCGGAACACACAAUAUACUUUCCUCUUGAUAACUUUAUUGUAUUUACUGGUUUAUGUCAUAAUUUCAAGCCCACUAGAACGUGACCUUCACAUGUGGGUUUCUGUUUUGCUUUUUCUUCUGCCAGUCACUGAAGUGUUCCAAAAGCCUGAAAGGGGAACUGUCUUUCAGAUGAAUGAACUACUUAAGAAGCAAG
This 1545-nucleotide long non-coding RNA is filed under the name Fukomys damarensis (Damara mole-rat). Its description in RNAcentral is "lncRNA (ENSFDAG00000029504.1)". Lineage: Eukaryota; Metazoa; Chordata; Mammalia; Rodentia; Bathyergidae. The record is from RNAcentral.